UACGAAGGGUGCAAACGUUGCUCGGAAUUAUUGGGCGUAAAGCGCACGUAGGCGGCUUAGCAAGUCGGAAGUGAAAUCCCACGGCUCAACCAUGGAAGUGCUUUCGAAACUGCUGAGCUUGAGUACGAAAGAGGAUCGCGGAAUUCUCGGUGUAGAGGUGAAAUUCGUAGAUAUCGAGAGGAACACCGGUGGCGAAGGCGGCCUUCUGGACAGUGACUGACGCUGAGACGCGAAAGCGUGGGGAGCAAACAGG
RNAcentral lists this ribosomal RNA (253 nucleotides) under uncultured bacterium. RNAcentral's name for it is "partial 16S ribosomal RNA". It matches the Rfam family "Bacterial small subunit ribosomal RNA", at positions 524 to 776 of the family's 1533-position model. The record is from RNAcentral.